RNAcentral lists this transfer RNA (71 nucleotides) under Enterococcus faecalis. RNAcentral's name for it is "tRNA-Gly". It matches the Rfam family "tRNA". Rfam says of the family: Transfer RNA (tRNA) molecules are approximately 80 nucleotides in length. Their secondary structure includes four short double-helical elements and three loops (D, anti-codon, and T loops). The record is from RNAcentral. Lineage: Bacteria; Bacillati; Bacillota; Bacilli; Lactobacillales; Enterococcaceae.
GCGGGUGUAGUUUAGUGGUAAAGCCACAGCCUUCCAAGCUGUUGUCGCGAGUUCGAUUCUCGUCACCCGCU